This 393-nucleotide long non-coding RNA is filed under the name Elaeis guineensis (African oil palm). RNAcentral's name for it is "long non-coding RNA (EGUI_LNC067222)". The record is from RNAcentral. Lineage: Eukaryota; Viridiplantae; Streptophyta; Magnoliopsida; Arecales; Arecaceae.
UCUCUGCCAUCCUCAGCCCCCCGAUUCCUCUUUAAGGGGUUUCCCCGCCAGGUCCUCCACCCCAGAGGCCAUCCUCAAGAGGAUGCCAAGGGCUUGGAGGAAGGCAAGGAGGAGAACAGCGGUCUGCGAGUUCUCCGAUCAUCGAGCGGCCGCUGAAAGUCCCCGUCGCUUCAAAGGGGGUUUGAGGAAGAAUUCCUUCAACAACAGGGGUUUAAUAACGGAGACCGCCGGUAAAGGCGUUCUGCCUGAGAAUUUCGGAGUAGCGAGACGGGGUGACACCGGUCAGGAGGGCAGAGCUGUCGUCGCAAGCUGUGGCGGGAUCCUUGAUGUCGUCGGGGCCGAGGGACCAGAAGCGGUCGGCGUCGACGGUGGGGCAGUAAAACUUGUUGCGGG